Molecule: ribosomal RNA, 467 nt
Filed under: uncultured bacterium
Lineage: Bacteria
Description: partial 16S ribosomal RNA
Rfam family: Bacterial small subunit ribosomal RNA
Source: RNAcentral
UGGGGAAUUUUGGACAAUGGGGGCAACCCUGAUCCAGCAAUGCCGCGUGUGUGAAGAAGGCCUUCGGGUUGUAAAGCACUUUUGUCCGGAAAGAAAACGCCGUGGUUAAUACCCGUGGCGGAUGACGGUACCGGAAGAAUAAGCACCGGCUAACUACGUGCCAGCAGCCGCGGUAAUACGUAGGGUGCAAGCGUUAAUCGGAAUUACUGGGCGUAAAGCGUGCGCAGGCGGUCCGCUAAGACAGAUGUGAAAUCCCCGGGCUUAACCUGGGAACUGCAUUUGUGACUGGCGGGCUAGAGUAUGGCAGAGGGGGGUAGAAUUCCACGUGUAGCAGUGAAAUGCGUAGAGAUGUGGAGGAAUACCGAUGGCGAAGGCAGCCCCCUGGGCCAAUACUGACGCUCAUGCACGAAAGCGUGGGGGAGCAAACAGGAUUCAGAUACCCUGGUAGUCCACGCCCUAAACGAUGU